GUAGGUGACGUACCCUCGGGUCGGGGAUAGCCACGGGAAACUGUGGGUAAUACCCGAUAAUCUCCCGGAUCAUCAUGGUCUGGGAGCAAAGGUGUGAUUCCACCGGAGGAGCGGCCUGCUUCGUAUUAGCUAGUUGGUGAGGUAAUGGCUCACCAAGGCGACGAUGCGUAGGGGGUGUGAGAGCAUGACCCCCACCACUGGGACUGAGAUACUGCCCAGACACCUACGGGUGGCUGCAGUCGAGAAUCUUCGGCAAUGGGCGCAAGCCUGACCGAGCGACGCCGCGUGUGGGAUGAAGGCCCUUGGGUUGUAAACCACUGUCAGAGGGGAUGAAAUGCCAGCCAGCAAUCUGGUUGGUUUGACAUAGCCUCAGAGGAAGCACGGGCUAAGUUCGUGCCAGCAGCCGCGGUAAUACGAACUGUGCGAACGUUAUUCGGAAUCACUGGGCUUACAGGGUGCGUAGGCGGCUUGUUAAGUAGGGUGUGAAAGCCCCCGGCUCAACCGGGGAAUGGCGCCCUAAACUGGCGAGCUG
RNAcentral lists this ribosomal RNA (532 nucleotides) under uncultured Planctomycetota bacterium. RNAcentral's name for it is "bacterial SSU rRNA". It matches the Rfam family "Bacterial small subunit ribosomal RNA", at positions 117 to 643 of the family's 1533-position model. Lineage: Bacteria; Pseudomonadati; Planctomycetota. The record is from RNAcentral.